This 502-nucleotide ribosomal RNA is filed under the name uncultured bacterium. RNAcentral describes it as "partial 16S ribosomal RNA". It matches the Rfam family "Bacterial small subunit ribosomal RNA", at positions 29 to 523 of the family's 1533-position model. The record is from RNAcentral.
AUUGAACGCUGGCGGAAUGCUUUACACAUGCAAGUCGAACGGCAGCACGGGUGCUUGCACCUGGUGGCGAGUGGCGAACGGGUGAGUAAUACAUCGGAACGUACCCAGUUAUGGGGGAUAACUAACCGAAAGGUUAGCUAAUACCGCAUACGCCCUGAGGGGGAAAGCGGGGGACCGUAAGGCCUCGCGUAAUUGGAGCGGCCGAUGUCUGAUUAGCUAGUUGGUGAGGUAAAGGCUCACCAAGGCGACGAUCAGGAGCAGGUCUGAGAGGAUGAUCUGCCAAGAUGGAACUGAGACACGGUCCAGACUCCUACGGGAGGCAGCAGGGGGGAAUUUUGGACAAUGGGCGAAAGCCUGAUCCAGCCAUUCCGCGUGAGUGAAGAAGGCAUUCGGGUUGUAAAGCUCUUUCGGCAGGGAAGAAACGCUCUGGGAUAAUACUCCGGGGUAAUGACGGUACCUGAAGAAGAAGCACCGGCUAACUACGUGCCAGCAGCCGCCGUAA